Molecule: transfer RNA, 73 nt
Filed under: Chlorokybus atmophyticus
Lineage: Eukaryota; Viridiplantae; Streptophyta; Chlorokybophyceae; Chlorokybales; Chlorokybaceae
Description: tRNA-Asn (GTT) (tRNA-Asn-GTT-4-1)
Rfam family: tRNA
About the family: Transfer RNA (tRNA) molecules are approximately 80 nucleotides in length.
Source: RNAcentral
UCCUUAGUAGCUCAGGGGUCAGAGCAGACGGCUGUUAACCGUCGGGUCGUUGGUUCAAAUCCAACCUGAGGAG